AGACGGAGGGUGCUAGCGUUGUUCGGAAUCACUGGGCGUAAAGGGCGCGUAGGCGGCUGUGGCAGUCGGGUGUGAAAGCCCGGAGCUCAACUCCGGAACGGCACUCGAGACGCCAUGGCUGGAGGCCGGAAGAGGAGGGUGGAAUACCCAGUGUAGAGGUGAAAUUCGUAGAUAUUGGGUGGAACACCGGUGGCGAAAGCGGCUCUCUGGUCCGGACCUGACGCUGAGGCGCGAAAGCGUGGGGAGCAAACA
Molecule: ribosomal RNA, 252 nt
Filed under: uncultured prokaryote
Description: partial 16S ribosomal RNA
Rfam family: Bacterial small subunit ribosomal RNA
Source: RNAcentral